AGUGAACGCUGGCGGUAGGUCUAACACAUGCAAGUCGAACGGCAGCACAGGAGAGCUUGCUCUCUGGGUGGCGAGUGGCGGACGGGUGAGGAAUACAUCGGAAUCUACCUUUUCGUGGGGGAUAACGUAGGGAAACUUACGCUAAUACCGCAUACGACCUACGGGUGAAAGUGGGGGACCGCAAGGCCUCACGCGAUUAGAUGAGCCGAUGUCCGAUUAGCUAGUUGGCGGGGUAAUGGCCCACCAAGGCGACGAUCGGUAGCUGGUCUGAGAGGAUGAUCAGCCACACUGGAACUGAGACACGGUCCAGACUCCUACGGGAGGCAGCAGUGGGGAAUAUUGGACAAUGGGCGCAAGCCUGAUCCAGCCAUACCGCGUGGGUGAAGAAGGCCUUCGGGUUGUAAAGCCCUUUUGUUGGGAAAGAAAUCCUGUCGAUUAAUACUCGGUGGGGAUGACGGUACCCAAAGAAUAAGCACCGGCUAACUUCGUG
RNAcentral lists this ribosomal RNA (490 nucleotides) under uncultured bacterium. RNAcentral's name for it is "partial 16S ribosomal RNA". It matches the Rfam family "Bacterial small subunit ribosomal RNA", at positions 29 to 507 of the family's 1533-position model. The record is from RNAcentral.